Molecule: ribosomal RNA, 497 nt
Filed under: uncultured bacterium
Lineage: Bacteria
Description: partial 16S ribosomal RNA
Rfam family: Bacterial small subunit ribosomal RNA
Source: RNAcentral
GAUGAACGCUGGCGGCGUGCCUAAUACAUGCAAGUCGAGCGAAAAGACGAGGAGCUUGCUCCUCUGACGUUAGCGGCGGACGGGUGAGUAACACGUGGAUAACCUACCUAUAAUUCUGGGAUAACUUCGGGAAACCGGAGCUAAUACCGUAUAAUAUAUUGAACCGCAUGGUUCAAUGGAAAAAGACGGCUUUUGUGUCACGUCUCGCUGGUUCCGCGCCGCAUUAGAUAGUAGGUAAGGUAACGGCUUACGAAGGGAACGAUGCGUAACCGAACUGAGGGGGUGAUAGGCCACACUGGAACUGAGACACGGUCCAGACUCCUACGGGAGGCAGCAGUAGGGAACGUGCCGCAAAAGGCGAAAGCCUGACGGAGCAACGCCGCGUGAGUGAUGAAGGUCUUCGGAUCGUAAAACUCUGUUAUUAGGGAAGAACAACUGUGUAAGGAAAUAUGCACGUCUUGACGGUAACUAAUCAGAAAGCCACGGCUAACUACGUG